This 482-nucleotide ribosomal RNA is filed under the name uncultured bacterium. Its description in RNAcentral is "partial 16S ribosomal RNA". It matches the Rfam family "Bacterial small subunit ribosomal RNA", at positions 30 to 507 of the family's 1533-position model. The record is from RNAcentral.
AUUGAACGCUGGCGGCAUGCCUUACACAUGCAAGUCGAACCGUAACGGGCCUUCGGGUGCCGACGAGUGGCGCACGGGUGAGUAAUACAUCGGAACGUGCCCGAUCGUGGGGGAUAACGAGGCGAAAGCUUUGCUAAUACCGCAUACGAUCUACGGAUGAAAGCAGGGGACCGCAAGGCCUUGCGCGGACGGAGCGGCCGAUGGCAGAUUAGGUAGUUGGUGGGAUAAAAGCUUACCAAGCCGACGAUCUGUAGCUGGUCUGAGAGGAUGAUCAGCCACACUGGGACUGAGACACGGCCCAGACUCCUACGGGAGGCAGCAGUGGGGAAUUUUGGACAAUGGGCGCAAGCCUGAUCCAGCCAUGCCGCGUGCAGGAUGAAGGCCUUCGGGUUGUAAACUGCUUUUGUACGGAACGAAAAGCCUUCUUUUAAUACAGGAGGGUCAUGACGGUACCGUAAGAAUAAGCACCGGCUAACUACGUG